AUUGAACGCUGGCGGCAUGCCUUACGCAUGCAAGUCGAACGGCGGCACGGGAGCAAUCCUGGUGGCGAGUGGCGAACGGGUGAGUAAUGUAUCGGAACGUACCUUUCAGUGGGGGAUAACGUAGCGAAAGUUACGCUAAUACCGCAUAUUCUGUGUGCAGGAAAGCAGGGGAUCGCAAGACCUUGCGCUGAUUGAGCGGCCGAUAUCAGAUUAGCUAGUUGGUGAGGUAAAGGCUCACCAAGGCGACGAUCUGUAGCGGGUCUGAGAGGAUGAUCCGCCACACUGGAACUGAGACACGGUCCAGACUCCUACGGGAGGCAGCAGUGGGGAAUUUUGGACAAUGGGGGCAACCCUGAUCCAGCCAUGCCGCGUGAGUGAAGAAGGCCUCGGUGUAAG
Molecule: ribosomal RNA, 396 nt
Filed under: uncultured bacterium
Lineage: Bacteria
Description: bacterial SSU rRNA
Rfam family: Bacterial small subunit ribosomal RNA
Source: RNAcentral